AGGAUGAACGCUGGCGGCGUGCUUAAUACAUGCAAGUCGAACGAGGAGCUAUUAUCUUCGGAUGAAAGAAUUCCUAGUGGCGAACGGGUGAGUAACGCGUUGGUGACCUGCCCCAAAGAAGGGGAUAACAGUUCGAAAGGACUGCUAAUACCCUAUGUUAUCAGUUGGAUUAGAAGCCUACUGAUUAAAGGAGUAAUCCGCUUUGGGAGGGACCUGCGUCCCAUCAGCUAGUUGGUAGGGUAACGGCCUACCAAGGCAAUGACGGGUAGGGGACCUGAGAGGGUGACCCCCCACAAUGGCACUGAAACACGGGCCAUACACCUACGGGUGGCAGCAGUAGGGAAUAUUGGACAAUGGGCGAAAGCCUGAUCCAGCAACACCGCGUGCACGAUGACGGCCUUCGGGUUGUAAAGUGCUUUUAGAGGAGAUGAGAAAGGACAGUAUCCUCUGAAUAAGCCUCGGCGAACUACGUGCCAGCAGCCGCGGUAAAACGUAGGAGGCAAGCGUUAUCCGGAUUUAUUGGGCGUAAAGCGCGUGCAGGCGGUCUAUCAAGUUGGAUGUGAAAGCUCCCGGCUUAACUGGGAGAGGUCGUUCAAUACUGUUAGACUAGAGAAUGGGAGAGGGAGGUGGAAUUCUGGGUGUAGUGGUGAAAUGCGUAGAUAUCCAGAGGAACACCAGUGGCGAAAGCGGCCUCCUAGACCAUUUCUGACGCUAAGACGCGAAAGCUAGGGUAGCAAACGGGAUUAGAGACCCCGGUAGUCCUAGCUGUAAACGAUGUAGACUUGGCGUUGGCGGAGUUAAAUCUGUCAGUGCCGUAGCUAACGCGAUAAGUCUACCGCCUGGGGACUACGAUCGCAAGAUUAAAACUCAAAGGAAUUGACGGGGACCCGCACAAGCAGCGGAGCGUGUGGUUUAAUUCGAUGCUACACGAAGAACCUUACCAGGGUUUGACAUGUAAGUGGUAGUGAUCCGAAAGGUGAACGACCCCUCGGGGAGCUGACACAGGUGCUGCAUGGCUGUCGUCAGCUCGUGUCGUGAGAUGUUCGGUUAAGUCCGCUAACGAGCGCAACCCUCACUGUGUGUUACAAGUGUCACACGGGACUGCCGGUUUAAGCCGGAGGAGAGGCGAGGAUGACGUCAAGUCAGCAUGGCCUUUAUGUCCUGGGCUACACACACGCUACAAUGGUCGGUACAGUAGGUUGCCA
This 1205-nucleotide ribosomal RNA is filed under the name uncultured bacterium. Its description in RNAcentral is "bacterial SSU rRNA". It matches the Rfam family "Bacterial small subunit ribosomal RNA", at positions 26 to 1252 of the family's 1533-position model. The record is from RNAcentral.